UAGGUCAGUAGGAGAUUUGAAGAAGGUGAAAGAUUCCUUAAUGUUGGAGAUGAAAAAUCUGCUCCAGUUCUGGUGUUAGGGAUUGUUAAGCUUGUAUUCAAGUCCAAUAUAAUUGAUCUCAGUAAAUAUCACUUUUAUCUUUCAUUUUUAUUGAAUAUUAUUUCUGUAAGUCUUUUGACCAAGAAUGGUUAUGAGAUUUUAAUA
RNAcentral lists this long non-coding RNA (204 nucleotides) under Elaeis guineensis (African oil palm). Its description in RNAcentral is "long non-coding RNA (EGUI_LNC008014)". Lineage: Eukaryota; Viridiplantae; Streptophyta; Magnoliopsida; Arecales; Arecaceae. The record is from RNAcentral.